Molecule: long non-coding RNA, 653 nt
Filed under: Gallus gallus (chicken)
Lineage: Eukaryota; Metazoa; Chordata; Aves; Galliformes; Phasianidae
Description: lncRNA (ENSGALG00010007167.1)
Source: RNAcentral
GGAGAUCACUACUCUUGGAGCCCUUCUACAAGCACAGGAUAUGGAAAUGAGCAAAGUUAAGUCUGCAUGAAGCCUGCCGGAGUUCUGAACCUCAGUUACAUAAGGGUAGAGCAGACUGAUCUGGAAUCCAGGCUGACAACAAAAAGACUAUGGAGUCUGGAAAGAAGAAAAUGAACCAUGCUGCUUGAAAAUGAUAUUGGUUAAGAGCAGCUGGAUAACAGCAGAUCAGCAGUUUCUCUCUGUCAUUUUUUCUGAUCAAGUCUGAUGAAGUAGGAAAAUGUUCAAAAUGAGGAUGAGGAAAAUGUAGAGACAAAAUGUAUACUGACCUUUAGUGGAUGCAGCUGGCAUUUCUAGGCAAACUAAGCCACAGUAGGUGGGAAGCCACAGAUAUUCAAUGUACUCUUCCUGAGCUGUGUGAGACACUUCUAUGGAUAAAGACUUUAGGGAUGAGGAAUUUUCUAAAUGGGUAUGAUUGGACUGAAUCAGUGCUACGUCUGAUCCAGACUCAGAGUGGAAUACAGGACUUUCAGUGGUUAUUAAUUCAAACUCAGCAGGCCUCUGAAUCAGACAAAGUGUUUAAUGUAUGUUUUACAGCACCACUUCUGUUAAGCUAUUAAUUGAACUAUUUGUAGAAUCUAUGCAGAAUAAAACUU